GAUGAAGAACGCAGCAAAAUGCGAUAAGUAAUGUGAAUUGCAGAAUUUAGUGAAUCAUCGAAUCUUUGAACGCACAUUGCGCCCCUUGGUAUUCCGAGGGGCAUGCCUGUUCGAGCGUCAUUAUAACCCCUCAAGCUCAGCUUGGUAUUGGGGCCUGCCAUCCUGGCAGCCCUUAAAAUCAGUGGCGGUGCCAUCCGGCUCUAAGCGUAGUAACUCUUCUCGCUAUGGAGUCCUGGUGGAUGCUUGCCAUUAAUCUUUUAACUUCUAUGGUUGACCUCGGAUCAGGUAGGGAUACCCGCUGAACUUAAGCAUAUCAAUAAGCGGAGGA
Molecule: unclassified non-coding RNA, 328 nt
Filed under: soil metagenome
Description: partial contains 5.8S ribosomal RNA, internal transcribed spacer 2, and large subunit ribosomal RNA
Rfam family: 5.8S ribosomal RNA (bases 1-120)
Source: RNAcentral